Molecule: ribosomal RNA, 253 nt
Filed under: uncultured bacterium
Lineage: Bacteria
Description: partial 16S ribosomal RNA
Rfam family: Bacterial small subunit ribosomal RNA
Source: RNAcentral
UACGUAGGGUGCAAGCGUUGUCCGGAAUUAUUGGGCGUAAAGAGCUCGUAGGCGGUCUGUCGCGUCGGCUGUGAAAUCCCGAGGCUCAACCUCGGGUCUGCAGUCGAUACGGGCAAACUAGAGUAUUGCAGGGGAGACUGGAAUUCCUGGUGUAGCGGUGAAAUGCGCAGAUAUCAGGAGGAACACCGGUGGCGAAGGCGGUUCUCUGGGCAUGUCCUGACGCUGAGGAGCGAAAGUGUGGGGAGCAAACAGG